RNAcentral lists this ribosomal RNA (252 nucleotides) under uncultured bacterium. RNAcentral describes it as "partial 16S ribosomal RNA". It matches the Rfam family "Bacterial small subunit ribosomal RNA", at positions 524 to 776 of the family's 1533-position model. The record is from RNAcentral.
UACGUAGGUGGCGAGCGUUAUCCGGAAUGAUUGGGCGUAAAGGGUGCGUAGGCGGCCUGCUAAGUCUGGAGUGAAAGGUACCGGCUCAACCGGUACAGGCUCUGGAAACUGGCGGGCUAGAGUGCAGGAGAGGUAAGCGGAAUUCCUAGUGUAGCGGUGAAAUGCGUAGAUAUUAGGAGGAACACCAGUGGCGAAGGCGGCUUACUGGACUGUAACUGACGUUGAGGCUCGAAAGCGUGGGGAGCAAACAGG